This 30-nucleotide non-coding RNA is filed under the name Mus musculus (house mouse). The record is from RNAcentral. Lineage: Eukaryota; Metazoa; Chordata; Mammalia; Rodentia; Muridae.
UGGGGCCACAGCAUCUGACUUAAGAAUGUA